UACGGAGGGGGCUAGCGUUGUUCGGAAUUACUGGGCGUAAAGCGCACGUAGGCGGCUUUGUAAGUUAGAGGUGAAAGCCCGGGGCUCAACUCCGGAAUUGCCUUUAAGACUGCAUCGCUAGAAUUGUGGAGAGGUAAGUGGAAUUCCGAGUGUAGAGGUGAAAUGCGUAGAUAUCUGGAGGAACACCGGUGGCGAAGGCGACUUACUGGACACAUAUUGACGCUGAGGUGCGAAAGCCAGGGGAGCAAACGGG
This 253-nucleotide ribosomal RNA is filed under the name uncultured bacterium. RNAcentral describes it as "partial 16S ribosomal RNA". It matches the Rfam family "Bacterial small subunit ribosomal RNA", at positions 524 to 776 of the family's 1533-position model. The record is from RNAcentral.